Molecule: long non-coding RNA, 3219 nt
Filed under: Sus scrofa (pig)
Lineage: Eukaryota; Metazoa; Chordata; Mammalia; Artiodactyla; Suidae
Description: lncRNA (ENSSSCG00060007169.1)
Rfam family: Small nucleolar RNA SNORA9 (bases 1469-1600)
Source: RNAcentral
GAGACUGUGCGGUGGCAGCCAUGGCGGACGGUUGCGAUGAGGCUGCUCCUGGGUCUCGCGGCUAUCCAAGACCAUCGAGGGUCCCCGGCGGCGCCUGCCGUCUGCUGAGGCUGGGUGGACUCCUCUGCGGCAGAUCUCCUGUAAGAUGUGCUGGUAAGUGACGCUGCCGGGGGCCCAGCUCCUCGCUCCCAGAACCGGGCGCGCUGGUCACUGUUACUUCAUGGGGGAAAUUCUUACUGAAUCAACUAGUGACUUGGCCUACGGCUCCCAGGGGUUUUCUGAACUGUAAAAUACAUACCGAGAAUAAUAUUCAAGAAAAGGGGAUUUUGUGUAUAGAUGUGAUCAGCGUCUUUGUAAAAGGAAGGAAGUUAGUCCACUGCUACCGCCACAAUUCCGCCUCUGUCUGCCGGUGCCAAAUUGAAACGCAGACACAGAGUUUGGGGUAAAGGAGGGGAAAAAAAAUAGUUUAAUUGCUUUGCCAGGCAAAGGAGGAUCACAGCAGGUUAAUGCCUUAAAGACUGUCCCUUCCCCCCCACCCCAGUUAGAAAGAAUUGGAAGGAGUUUUAUAGCAAAAAGGAGAAAAACAGGUUUUCAGAGAGGAAUCAGUAUUGGGACAAACAUGCAUUCAUCUUUCUUUGGGUCAGUCUUGGUCAUCAAAGCUGGAGUCGGGAGAUUUUCACAGUGGUGGUUUUCUGGGUUAUUGCCUAGAAUAACAGUACUUGCGAAAGGGCCGUAUUGAUCAGAGAUCAGAACAAGCUUGGAAAGUUCCUGAAAAAACAUCCCAUGCUAAUAAUCUUUAACCCACAGGCCAUUGUGCUCAGGAUGCCUAAUCUUUAGCUUACAGGUGAUUGUGUUUAGGGUGUAACUAAGUCAGGAAGAAGAAUAAGCUGUUAAAUUUCAAAGUAUUCAUUUCAAAAAGAAGCGUAAGGAAUAUGAUUUUUCUCUGAGAGGUAUGAUAAGACUGCCUCUCCCAAGGCUGCUUGUCUUCCUCCCUCAAACAGAAAGGAUUGCUGUGUCCUUCUUACUAUCAAGAGUUGUCGGAGUUCCCGUCGUGGCGCAGUGGUUAACGAAUCCGACUAGGAACCAUGAGGUUGCGGGUUCGGUCCCUGCCCUUGCUCAGGGGGUUAACGAUCCGGCGUUGCCAUGAGCUGUGGUGUAGGUUGCAGACGCGGCUCGGAUCCCGCGUUGCUGUGGCUCUGGCGUAGGCCGGUGGCUACAGCUCCCAUUGGACCCCUAGCCUGGGAACCUCCAUAUGCCGCAGGAGCGGCCCAAGAAAUAGCAACAACAACAACAACAAAAAGACAAAAGACAAAAAAAAAAAAAAAAAAGUUGUCUCUGUCCAGGGGCUUCAGGAGGAAACCCAAGUAGGCCUAAUCCAACCCCAUGAUCUCUCCUCUCAGCUUCUGGUCCCGGCUGGUGCUCAGUACAGCUGAAUGCCCAGGGCUUUAGGGGCUUGAAGGAACGUGGGCUGCAAGCCUCCAGCGUGCUUGGGUCUGCGGUGACCCUGUGCAUUCCUACAGUGCUUGCAAGAAAAUUUUGAGAUGGUUUGAGGCCUUGCCCUGCUUCAUCCAGAGCAAGGUUAUAGAAAUUUCAGACACUGUUUUGCUCCCUUCCCUAUCUGGUGUGCUGGGCACUGUGCAGGUCUGUACCAUCUGAGGCGGUGACCACUUGACACAUUCGGUUAAAUUUAAGAUUCCGUCUUUCGUUCACACUAGCCGCGGUUUAGAUGGAUGCUCAUUAGCCACACUUGGCAAGUGGCUGCUCUGUUGCACCUUGCACCGUGCACAUUAGAGAGCGUUAAUGUCUUUGAAGAAAUUGUUUUGGACUUUGGGUGUUUACCGUGCUCCAGGCUUGUAAAUUUUAUUAUAUCCUUCAAACGAAAGCCUUAGAAAAGUUGAAAAUGGGAGUUCCCUUGAUGGCUUAGUGGUUAAUGAACCCGACUAGUAUCCAAGAGGAUGCAGCUUCAAUCCCUGGCCUUGCUCAGAGGAUUAAGGAUCCUGCGUUGCCGUCAGCUGUGUAAGUUGCAGGCAAAGCUUGGAUCUGGCGGGGCUGUGGUGUAGGCCGGCAGCUGCAGCUCCGUUUGGACCCCUAGCCUGGGAACCUCCGUAUGCCUCGGGCAUGGCCCUAGAAAGAUGUAAAGGAAAAGAAAAUGAAGCUUGAGGGAGUGGUAAAGAUGGAGUUAGACCAGCUAGUAGGAAAUAGAGUGGAAAGGAAUAAUAGGGAUGGGCCAUGCCCUGGGGGAUAUUUACCAUUGGCAGGGAAACCAAAGAGAAGGAAGGGCCAGCCAGGUUCUAUAGCAGGGCCGAGUGUCCCCGGAGCUUACUGGGGGGCGGGGGUCGUUGCACAUUGAUCUUAAAGGAAGAUCUAAUAUAGCAGGGGCCGAGUGUCCCCGGAGCUUACGGGGGGGGGGGUCGUUGCGCAUUGAUCUUAAAGGAAGAUCUAGUGGGAGAGAAGGGCACUUGUGUUGAUUGAACUCUUGUCUUGCAGACUUAAUUCUUAACCCGCCAGAAGUCUUCAGGGACCACCGUUAGGCCAUCUUAGGUCCAGUACAGGUGGGGGGGCCACGGUCAGGAUUAAGUGUCCAGGGUUGCCUGUUCAGAAACUGGAAGGUCAGGAUUGGAUGCCAGGCCUCUCCAACCCUACUGGCUCCACUCCUUUCCCGGAUGCCAGAUUGGAAGGGAGGGGUGGAAUCUAGAGGCAAUGGCUGGUUUGAGUCGGAGGGCAAUGCCAGGAUGGAGUAGGCAGCACAGCUCCUGAGCUCCUGGACGGCGGGGUCACACCACCACCCCUUCUCUCUUGAAGGUUAAGGCUUCUGGCAGAUUCGGGUCAGUCCCAAGUGCGACCGGUCUUCUGGGGCUGCCGUCCGCAGACCCUUCUCGCAUCCACGUACCUGGCGGCCUCCCUCAUCGCGUGCUGUUGGUAGGGGGGCGAGUCAGGCCCUGUACACGUCCUGACAGGCACCCGGCCCACCCCCAGCCAACUGUGCGCUGUGUUCCUGCCCCAGCACGAGACCUGUGGGGUGUCCGCGGCAGAAGAUGUCAGAGCUGGAAGAGACCUGAGAGGCGAUCCCCUUGGUGGGUGAUGGUUCUUCCGGGAAUCUGGUGGUUUGCGCGCCUUGUCGUCUGCUUCCAGAACAAGGAUCUUCGCUGUACGCCAAGACCCAGACCCCUCUGACAUCGGAAUGACAAGUGGGAUAUUUAAUAAAACAGUUUCAAAUUU